Molecule: non-coding RNA, 949 nt
Organism: Nicotiana tabacum (common tobacco)
Lineage: Eukaryota; Viridiplantae; Streptophyta; Magnoliopsida; Solanales; Solanaceae
Source: RefSeq, a predicted model, not a curated record
CAGGUUUCAAGCAUUUCAACAAGUAUAUUAGAACAUCAAAAAUUAUUUUGAUAUCAAGUUAUAAACUUCUUGAAUCUAGUUCAAUUAUCUAAGAUCAAUAAUAUCUUAGGAGAGAUUAAAUUAUUUAUAAAAGUAACUAUUAACAACUUUACAUCUUAAAAAGAUAGAAAAAUAGACUUCCAUUAAAAAUAUAGAUAAAUUUUUUUUUCUUUCUAAUAGGUCCUACAUUAAAAAUUGGCUUUAGGCUAUCAAUCUUCUUGGGCCGCCCCUGGCUGUAUUGCUAGUGUUUGCUAACAAGCAAGAUCUUCCAAAUUCCAUGAACGCAGCAGAGAUAACUGACAAGCUUGGCCUCCACUCUCUCCGCCAGCGUCACUGGUACAUCCAGAGCACUUGUGCGACUUCUGGUGAAGGUCUGUAUGAAGGAUUAGAUUGGCUGUCAAACAACAUAGCAAAUAAGGCAUAGAGACAAAGUAUCUUUGUUCUCUGGAUGAUGGAGUAGUGAGACAGUGACAAAAUAGGCUUCACCAAUUACUUGUAAACUGUAUUAGUAGAAAAUAAAUAUGACACAUGGAAUUAUGUGUGGCUGACAAGGCAUGAUACGUGGAUCACUAAGAAAGUGACAACUAAAAUAUUGCAUUAGAAGAUGCACGAGAUACAAGAAGUACGAGCAAAUAACUCACGAGAUGAAGGGAUGCAGUUGCUCGAGUCUAAAUCAUUCAGUAAAUAUAGGCUGAAUGAAUCAAGACAGUAAGAAGGAAAGAUUCACGAACCUCUAAUUAAUGAGGAAGAAGAAUUGGAGCCGUUACAGAAUCUCCAUAAACAGUUAUAAUUGCCAAUUAUAACGGUUCAUAAAUGUUAUUAAUGUUCAUAAUGUUUCGGCCAUAAAAGGGAGGAAACAUCAUGUUUGUAAAUUCCUAUAUAAGGGAAGAGAAUUUCAUUUGUAAAGACA